UACCUGCAGCUCGAGUGGUGACCGCUAUUAUUGGGCCUAAAACGUCCGUAGCCGGUUUAAUAAAUGCCUGGGUAAAUCGUGUAGCUUAACUAUACGAAUUCCGGGUAGACUGUUAGACUUGAGACCGGGAGAAGCUAGAGGUACUCCUGGGGUAGAGGUGAAAUUCUGUAAUCCUAGGGGGACCACCAGUGGCGAAGGCGUCUAGCUAGAACGGGUCUGACGGUGAGGGACGAAGCCCUGGGGCGCAAACCGGAUUAGAUACCCGGGUAGUCCAGGGUGUAAACGCUGCUUGCUUGAUGUUAGUUGGGCUCUGAGCCCAAUUAGUGUCGGAGAGAAGUUGUCAAGCAAGCUGCCUGGGAAGUACGGUCGCAAGACUGAAACUUAAAGGAAUUGGCGGGGAGCACAGCAACGGGUGGAGCGUGCGGUUU
This 428-nucleotide ribosomal RNA is filed under the name uncultured archaeon. RNAcentral describes it as "bacterial SSU rRNA". It matches the Rfam family "Archaeal small subunit ribosomal RNA", at positions 474 to 903 of the family's 1478-position model. The record is from RNAcentral.